RNAcentral lists this ribosomal RNA (497 nucleotides) under uncultured bacterium. RNAcentral's name for it is "partial 16S ribosomal RNA". It matches the Rfam family "Bacterial small subunit ribosomal RNA", at positions 28 to 507 of the family's 1533-position model. The record is from RNAcentral.
GAUGAACGCUGGCGGCGUGCCUAAUACAUGCAAGUCGAGCGAACAGACGAGGAGCUUGCUCCUCUGACGUUAGCGGCGGACGGGAGAGUAACACGUGGAUAACCUCCCUAUAAGACUGGGAUCACUUCGGAAAACCGGCGAUUAUCCCGGAUAAUAUAUUGAACCGCGUGGUGCAAUAGUGAAAGACGGUUUUUGUGUCACUUCUCGAUGCAUCCCAGCCGGAUUAGCUGGUUGGUAAGUUAAAGGCUUACCAAGGCAACGAGGCGUAUCCGACCUGACAGGGUGGUCGGCGACACUGGAACGUAGACGCGGUCCAUACUCCUACGAGAGGCAGCAGUAGGGUAUCGGACGCAGUGGGCGAAAGCCUGACGGAGCAGCGCCGCGUGAGAGAUGGAGGUGUUGCGAGCGUAAAGCUCUGUUAUUAGGGAAGAACAAAUUUGUAAUUAACUAUGCACGGCUUGACGGUACCUAAUCAGAAAGCCACGGCUAACUACGUG